CCUUACUAGGGUAGUCUUCCAACUACUCUCGGGAAAGUAAUACAGUGCCUCCUAGUGGUCAGAAUACACUCAACCUGUAACAUCUAUUAUUGAACACAAAAAUUGCAUGGUAUGAAACGGGAAUGAACUAUUUUUUCUUGAUAAAAUCAUUGUUUUCAUAGAACUUACGACCAGUGAUGUUUGCUUAACAAUGGUGCGACUAGAACUACAAACCAGAGUGUCUGCAUAAGGACGGUCCAAUUAGAACUACGAAGCAGAGUUUUGCUUGACAACGGCAACCCUGUACUUUGAGUAUUUUUUGUUGCAGCUGGCUAGAGUGUCGCCGGAUUGUGCAGUACACAAGUCUUGUACAGUAUCCAGUCUUCUGGGCCAUGUAACAGUAGGAACAGAGACGAGACUAACGGCAACCAAUGAAA
This is a long non-coding RNA of Anguilla anguilla (European eel), 416 nucleotides long. RefSeq lists it as uncharacterized. The transcript has 3 exons. The record is from RefSeq and is a predicted model, not a curated record. Lineage: Eukaryota; Metazoa; Chordata; Actinopteri; Anguilliformes; Anguillidae.